GAUGAACGCUAGCUACAGGCUUAACACAUGCAAGUCGAGGGGCAUCAGGAAGAAAGCUUGCUUUCUUUGCUGGCGACCGGCGCACGGGUGCGUAAACGCGUAUGCAACCUACCUUUAACAGGGGCAUAACACUGAGAAAUUGGUACUAAUUCCCCAUAACAUUCGAGAAGGCAUCUUCUUGGGUUAAAAACUCCGGUGGUUAAAGAUGGGCAUGCGUUGUAUUAGCUAGUUGGUGAGGUAACGGCUCACCAAGGCAACGAUACAUAGGGGGACUGAGAGGUUAACCCCCCACAUUGGUACUGAGACACGGACCAAACUCCUACGGGAGGCAGCAGUGAGGAAUAUUGGUCAAUGGACGCAAGUCUGAACCAGCCAUGCCGCGUGCAGGAAGACGGCUCUAAUGAGUUGUAAACUGCUUUUGUACUAGGGUAAACGCUUCUACGUGUAGGAGCCCUGAAAGUAUAGUACGAAUAAGGAUCGGCUAAACUCCGUGCCAGCAGCCGCCGUAAG
This 510-nucleotide ribosomal RNA is filed under the name uncultured bacterium. Its description in RNAcentral is "bacterial SSU rRNA". It matches the Rfam family "Bacterial small subunit ribosomal RNA", at positions 28 to 524 of the family's 1533-position model. The record is from RNAcentral.